RNAcentral lists this unclassified non-coding RNA (135 nucleotides) under uncultured Phoma. Its description in RNAcentral is "sequence contains ITS1". The record is from RNAcentral. Lineage: Eukaryota; Fungi; Ascomycota.
ACGAUUUCGGUUUACACCGUUUUCUACCUAUGUCUACGCGUACCACAUGUUUCCUCGGGGGGCUUGCUCCCCGUUAGGACUCUUUAUCAACCUUUUUGCAAUAGCAGUCAGCGUCUGAUAAUAAUUUAAUUAUUA